CUCUUUAGCUUGGCAUUUGAAUCGGCUUUGCUGUUGCGAAGUAGAGUGGCGGCUUCGGCUGCCGAGGGUCGAUCCAUUUGGGAAAUGUUGUGUACUUCGGUAUGCAUCUCAAUUGGACCUGAUAUCAGGCAAGAUUACCCGCUGAACUUAAGCAUAUUAAUAAGCGGAGGAAAAGAAACUAACAAGGAUUCCCCUAGUAACGGCGAGUGAAGCGGGAAGAGCUCAAGCUUAAAUUCUCCGUGCAAGUUUUGCGCGGCGAAUUGUAGUCUAUAGAGGCGUGAUCAGUGUGGGCGCUUGGGGCAAGUUCCUUGGAAGAGGACAGCAUGGAGGGUGAUACUCCCGUUCAUCCCUGAGUUGCUCGUGCGUACGAUCCGUUUUCUUUGAGUCGCGUUGUUUGGGAAUGCAGCGCAAAGUAGGUGGUAAAUUCCAUCUAAAGCUAAAUAUUGGUGCGAGACCGAUAGCGAACAAGUACCGUGAGGGAAAGAUGAAAAGAACUUUGAAAAGAGAGUUAAAGAGUACCUGAAACUGCUGAAAGGGAACCGAAUCGUUUCCAGUGUCUAUAAUCCGUGGUAUAUUUCAUUGGCGAGUGUGUGCGUGCGUGUGCUGUGGCAGCGGCUUUUUUGGCUGCGCUCGGCGUGUGUGCUGUGUGUGCUUGCUGGUGCCCUGUGCUGCGGUGGGACGUCAAGGUCAGUUCGUAUGCUGCGGGAAAUGGCCGCCGAGGAGGUAGGGCUUACGCUUGCGUUUGUCUGUUAUAUCUUGGUGGACGAGUAGUCGCGGUUGGGACUGAGGUGCCUACAACGUGUUUUUGAGUGGGCCUGUGUCUCUGUGUGCGCCGUGUGCGGAUAGCUUGCUAUGCGUGUGUGGUUGUGUGUGGAUUUGAUGUGGGUUUAACUUGUGGCCGUUUCGGGACGUUGACGAAAUGGAAGCGAUUUGACCCGUCUUUGAAACACGGAACCAAGGGAGUCUAACAUGUGUGCAAGUGUUAGGGUGUGGUAUACCUCCAGCGCGAAAUGAAAAGUGAAGGGCAGCGUAAGUUGUCUGAGGUAGGUAAUGCUGCGGGGCUUCGGUCUGCGGUGUGGCACUAUCGACCGAGUCAUGAACCUUCGUGGUGAAAGAUUUGAGUUUGAGCACAUAUGUUGGUACCCCGAAAGAUGGUGAACUAUGCCUGAGUAGGGUGAAGGCAGGGGA
Ribosomal RNA from Phytophthora infestans T30-4, 1188 nucleotides. NCBI's taxonomy places the organism in Eukaryota, Oomycota, Peronosporomycetes, Peronosporales, Peronosporaceae. The record is from RefSeq and is a predicted model, not a curated record.